RNAcentral lists this ribosomal RNA (238 nucleotides) under Staphylococcus cohnii. RNAcentral describes it as "partial 16S ribosomal RNA". It matches the Rfam family "Bacterial small subunit ribosomal RNA", at positions 548 to 785 of the family's 1533-position model. The record is from RNAcentral. Lineage: Bacteria; Bacillati; Bacillota; Bacilli; Caryophanales; Staphylococcaceae.
CGGAUUAUUGGGCGUAAGCGCGCGUAGGCGGUUUUUUAAGUCUGAUGUGAAAGCCCACGGCUCAACCGUGGAGGGUCAUUGGAAACUGGAAAACUUGAGUGCAGAAGAGGAAAGUGGAAUUCCAUGUGUAGCGGUGAAAUGCGCAGAGAUAUGGAGGAACACCAGUGGCGAAGGCGACUUUCUGGUCUGUAACUGACGCUGAUGUGCGAAAGCGUGGGGAUCAAACAGGAUUAGAUAC